GUCGUCCCUAGGUGGGGUGAAUCAUGUUGUGCCAGGCUUUUUUUGCUAUACUCGACAUGAGUGGGUUGAGUCACUGAUGUGAUUUUCCUGUCUGUUUUUGCGCAGUGGGGAAGAUCUUCGUGGGCUAUACUCAGCCUUGUCUCAAUGGGAUCUCAUCUUCCUUCGACACAUGAAUCAUCAAAUCCUCCUCUCCACCCUCUCAGGGCUGGGCGUGUCAAGCUCUGCAUACUCUUGGAUUGCAUCCUACCUGGCAGGCCGCUCCUACCAGGUGAUGUGGAGAGGAUCUAUGUCUGCACCACAUACUCUACUGGUGGCGACGUGCAUCUCUACAGGCCUGCCUGAUAUCUCAGCUUGGAUGUCGGCCCACCACCUCUAGCUCAAUCUCGACAAGACUGAGCUGCCUGCCUACUCAAAGACCUCUACAGCUUCACCGUGUCGCCCUCCCAGAGUGUGAAGAACCUUGGUGUGACUCUGGACAACACCCUGUUGUUCUCUGCAAACAUCAAAGUAGCGACUCCUGCAGGUUCCUGCUCUAGAGUACAACACUACCUCCCACAGAAAGCAGAGCAGGUCCUAAUCCAGGCAUUUCUAAUUUCCGUCUGGACAAUUGCAACUUGCUGUUGGCUGAGCUCCCCACUUCUGCCUUCAACCCCUGCGACUUAUCCACAAGACUGCAUCUUGUCUGGUUUUCAACCUUCCCAAGUUCUCCCAUGUCACCCCAUUCUUCCGCACACUCCACUGGCUUCCAGUCGAAGCUCACAUCCACUACAAGACCAUGGUGCUUGCUUACGGACCAGCAAGAGGAACUGCCCCUCCCUACCUUUUAGGCUAUAUUCAAACCCUACACCCCCACCACUAGUCUCUUGGCCCUCCCAGUCCAAGUUCUUCUCUGUCCUGGCACCCCAAAGAUGGAACCAGUUUACCCCUGAAGCUAGGACAGCAGUCGCUGUCCCCCCUGCCGCCGCAAAAUAACUCAAAUGCAUCUGCAAAAUUACUGGAAGGUACAUGUAAAAUGUAAAGGAUCGUUUUUACUUACGAGUCAACUAAGACCUGCUCACUCGUUAAGUUCUUUGCAUUUGUUGAAGGUAUCCUGUUCCUGUUGUUUCCAACGUCAGGUCAACUGGUCUCUCAGCAACCUGUACAGUGGCAUUAGAACUGUGCUCCACUGUGGACAAAACAUCCAUAGUAGUUAACAAGACCCGGAAACGUCCUCCGCUCCUUCACAUUGGUAGGCGGAGGUGCCCCCUGGGUGGCUUUGAUUUUCUCUGUGGAUGGAUGGAUUCCUCUGCUAUCAAACACAUGACCUAGAUACUCGAUACAUGUUUUCCCAAACUCACAUUUGGACCUUUUUACUCAGUCUGUUCUCCAGAAGAAGUUGCAGUAGCUUUUGAAAGUUCCUCAGGUGCUCCUUUUCGUUCUGGCCUGUGAUUAACAGAUAAUCCAAGUAAGCGACUAGAUCAAGACCUUUCAUCAGAUUUUCCUCAGGUUUGAUUAGGAUAGUUGCUUUAAUGUCUAUCUCAUUCUAGAAUACUUCAGCAUGCAUCUCCAACACUUCCUGAAUAGAUUUAGCAUUUUCAAGCAUUUAUUUAAGUUGUACUCACAUGCUUAAUUUGUUUCCAGUUUAGCUUUUGUAACCAGUUCCUUCCACAUAAAGCUGGUCCAGAACAUUUAACAACUAUGAGUGGUAGAUCCUCACUUUGAUCCUCAUAGCUCAGUUUUACAGUAAACUGUCCCAUUACAGCAAUGUUCUGUCCUGUAUAAGUCUUUAGGUUGAUGGCUGCAUCCUCUAGUGGCAGAUGUGGAAAUACACUCAUACAGUUCAUGUGAAAUUAUGCUGACUGUAGUGAUGCACGGGUUGACCUAUGUGGUUAUGUCAAUGAAGGGUAGGUGGUAGGCGGAUUGAAUAAAGAGAAAAGAAUACCUUUAAAAAAUCCAUAAAUGUAUAAUUAUUGUGUAAUUUAUAUCUAUAGGCUUCAUUUAUCCUAAAAUAAUGAAAUGAUUAUUAGCAUUAGUGCAUAAUAAGCCUAAGCUUUAGGGCCUAACUGUAUGUGCAGCAAAUGGCCUACACGCCAAUCGCCAAAUACUUGUCACGCCCUGACCUUAGAGAGCCUUUUUUAUUCUCUAUUUGUUUAGGUCAGGGUGUGACUUGGGUGGGCAAAUGUAUGUGUUCUAUUUCUUUGUUGGCCAGGUAUGGUUCCCAAUCAGAGGCAGCUGUCUAUCGUUGUCUCUGAUUUGAGAUCAUACUUAGGCAGCCCUUUUUCCCACCUUCAGUUGUGGGAUCUUGUUUUUGUUAGUUGCUGUGUUAGCGCUACAAUACUUUACGUGUCGUUUAUCUUUCUUGUUUUUUUGGUGUUC
This is a long non-coding RNA of Oncorhynchus tshawytscha (Chinook salmon), 2355 nucleotides long. The record is from Ensembl. Lineage: Eukaryota; Metazoa; Chordata; Actinopteri; Salmoniformes; Salmonidae.